GUAGCAAUCUCUAUUAUUCAAAGCUAAUCGCUGAUCUCCUAAUAUCUACGGAUAUCAGUGAGCAUUAUAUAGGCGACUACCAUGCCCUACAGCCGCCUAUGGUGCCGUGCGCUAUGUCCCUCCUCAUUAAUUCUGGCGUGUUCUGUGUUCUUCUAUCGCCACAUAGCUAUUUCCUAAUAUAGAUAUUACAAUUCUAAUCGCUCAUAACUUUAUUUGAGUGGUCCGUUGUUACACACACCUACAAUAAAACAUGCAACAUUAGUUAAAACAUGCAAGAUCCCUUGAAAACCAAUCUGAAUCCUCUACUGUCUUCAAUGAUCACAAUGCACAUUUGCAACAGUUGAAUGAUCAAAUCUGUGAACAAGAGCAGCAAUUAGCUAUUCUGCAUGCACAACAGUGACUCAAUGAGUUGAAAGUGCAGAUUUGUGAAGAUACUCUCAUUGAGUCUCAAUUAACUCAGAAUAUCAUCACAGAACUGCUGCAAAAUCAAUCUGUGAAUGAUACAGACAAUGAUAAUGAAACAUCACUGAGAUUAGAGAUUAAAAACUAUUAUUGAGAAAAAAAUAUAUUAGAAUUUAAAAACUAUAAAGAUUGCAUAUUGACUCUCUUUACAUAUCACUGCUGAUAUUAUUGAAAGAAAGAACACAAGAUAAAUGAUGCUAAACUCUAUCUUAAUAUUCAUAUUAAGCAGAAAUGAUUGAAUUUUGUAUCAUUGUAUGAGAGAUAUGAAGAAGCAACACUGUUGACUUUUGACAAUAUACUAUCACAUCUAGAAAUACAAAUUAACAAUUCACAGAAUCAGCAUCAAUUGACAAGUCAAAAGUUUCAAAAUACAAAACAACAAGAAUGACAAUCAAUAUACAAUUUCUCUAAAUAUUUUGAAGACUGGAAAUACUACUUAUCUUCAUAUAGCAAAGAACAA
RNAcentral lists this small RNA (922 nucleotides) under Histoplasma ohiense. RNAcentral's name for it is "hypothetical lncRNA". Lineage: Eukaryota; Fungi; Ascomycota; Eurotiomycetes; Onygenales; Ajellomycetaceae. The record is from RNAcentral.